RNAcentral lists this long non-coding RNA (294 nucleotides) under Ananas comosus (pineapple). RNAcentral describes it as "long non-coding RNA (ACOM_LNC013398)". The record is from RNAcentral. Lineage: Eukaryota; Viridiplantae; Streptophyta; Magnoliopsida; Poales; Bromeliaceae.
ACAUGAUUUGCUGCCAUCAACAAAUCCCGUCAGAUAGUAGCCAAAAAGGAGUGCAUUAAAUUGUGCGCGUCAUGACGGAUAAUUCAAAGGAGUUAAUUUAAGAGGCAAUUGAGCUGUUGCAUUAAUAGAGAUAAGAUUAGUUCUUGUAUUUUGUGGUAGAGAGGUGGAGGCUAUGUGAGGAGGACUAUUAUUUAUAGGAUUCUCUUUUUCCAUAGCAGAGCAUGUUGCCAGUUAGGCUUGUGGCUCUGUACCAUAUAACAAAGGUAUUGGGUUAAAAGAUUUCACACUUUAUUA